AAUGAACGCUGGCGGCGCGCCUAAUACAUGCAAGUCGAGCGAGAAGACGUAGCAAUACGUUUGUAAAGCGGCGAACGGGUGAGGAAUACAUGGGUAACCUACCCUCGAGUGGGGAAUAACUAGCCGAAAGGUUAGCUAAUACCGCGUACGCUUCUUGGACUUCGGUUCAGGGAGGAAAGCGAUACCGUGGGUAUCGCGCUCUUGGAUGGGCUCAUGUCCUAUCAGCUUGNGGUGAGGUAACGGCUCACCAAGGCUUCGACGGGUAGCUGGUCUGAGAGGACGAUCAGCCACACUGGCACUGCGACACGGGCCAGACUCCUACGGGAGGCAGCAGUAAGGAAUAUUGCGCAAUGGGCGAAAGCCUGACGCAGCGACGCCGCGUGGGGGA
RNAcentral lists this ribosomal RNA (388 nucleotides) under uncultured bacterium. RNAcentral describes it as "bacterial SSU rRNA". It matches the Rfam family "Bacterial small subunit ribosomal RNA", at positions 29 to 408 of the family's 1533-position model. The record is from RNAcentral.